This 327-nucleotide ribosomal RNA is filed under the name uncultured eukaryote. RNAcentral's name for it is "partial 18S ribosomal RNA". It matches the Rfam family "Eukaryotic small subunit ribosomal RNA", at positions 1470 to 1796 of the family's 1831-position model. The record is from RNAcentral.
CCCUUAGAUGUUCUGGGCCGCACGCGCGCUACACUGAUUCAUGCAACAAGUUUUGUCCUUGGCUGAUAGGCCUGGGUAAUCUUUGAACGUGAAUCGUGAUGGGGAUAGAUGAUUGCAAUUAUUCAUCUUCAACGAGGAAUUCCUAGUAAACGCAAGUCAUCAGCUUGCAUUGAUUACGUCCCUGCCCUUUGUACACACCGCCCGUCGCACCUACCGAUUGAAUGGUCCGGUGAAAUCUUCGGAUCUGAGAGACGUCUGAUUAAUUUCGGACGCCUUUUGGAAAAGUUGUUUAAACCUUACCAUUUAGAGGAAGGUGAAGUCGUAACA